AAAAGGCAUGGUCCCGACCUUACUAUCAGCUGUAACACAAUUUACACAUGCAAGUCUCCGCCACCCAGUGAGUAUGCCCUCAGUCCCCCGCCCGGAGACGAAGAGCGGGCAUCAGGCACAAUCGUUAGCCCAAGACGCCUAGCCAAGCCACACCCCCAAGGGGAUUCAGCAGUGAUUAACAUUAAGCCAUAAGUGAAAACUUGACUCAGUUAGUGUUAAUAGGGCCGGUAAAACUCGUGCCAGCUACCGCGGUUAGACGAGAGGCCCUAGUUGAUAUUACAACGGCGUAAAGGGUGGUUAAGGACAAACAGAUUUUUAAAGCCAAAGGGCCCCUUGGCCGUCAUACGCUCCUGGAAGCUCGAAGCCCAAUACACGAAAGUAGCUUUAAUAAA
This 392-nucleotide ribosomal RNA is filed under the name Acrossocheilus paradoxus (Taiwan torrent carp). RNAcentral describes it as "partial 12S ribosomal RNA". The record is from RNAcentral. Lineage: Eukaryota; Metazoa; Chordata; Actinopteri; Cypriniformes; Cyprinidae.